This 335-nucleotide long non-coding RNA is filed under the name Elaeis guineensis (African oil palm). RNAcentral describes it as "long non-coding RNA (EGUI_LNC062492)". Lineage: Eukaryota; Viridiplantae; Streptophyta; Magnoliopsida; Arecales; Arecaceae. The record is from RNAcentral.
ACCACCACGAUGACUUGUAAGCAACUCAUUGUACUUUAGUACUGGACCAUCUAAGUUUCUAACUUAGUGACGGAAGGCUAUUGGGUGCAGUCAAGUACUUAUCAAGUCGGUAUGUGAGUUAAGAUAGAAUUGACCCCUCUGAAUUAGUAAGAGAUAUACAUCAGUGUAUUUCAAUUCAGUAAAACUUUGAUCAGAAUAAUUCAUAAGAUGGAUUUGAAAGGUUGAGAUAUAAUAUGGUCGACUAAAUUAGGAUUGAUAGUUAAACCUUAGGUCGCCUUCAGUAUUUGGGUCAAAGGGAUGAAUUAUACGGUAACCAUAUGCUAGUAGGUUCUAGA